UGUGUUACACAUAAAUCUUAGUCUAAGAUUAAAUUAGAAAAAGGAAAGAAAUCAUAAAGUAUGAGGGAAAUGUUAACAAAUUCCCAUCCACUGUUUAAGGUGGUACCUAACACUUUAACAAACAUUUAUUUGGCUCGUUUAAUUUUGAUAAAAUUUUGACAAAGUAUUUACUUUGACCCUUUAACAAAAAUAUAAAAAUUUCAAAAAAUUUUGAACCAACCGUUUUGUCAGAAAAUUAGGUUAUAUAGCAGUUUGACAAACACCAAUUUUGUCUUUGUGAAGCUUAUUAUUCCCUUUACAACACAACGUAAUUAAAACGUUUAGCUGACUUUACAGAGUUAUCUCCCUGUAGUGUUAGGUACCACCUUAAGUUAGAAAUAAAAUUGCAUGUUAGUAAGAGUUGAAAGAGAGUACAAUCUUGUUUUGUGCCUUUAACUAGUCUUUUAAGAGGGUCUGGAUGGAAUUUACACCAUCGAUUCUAAUUAUGAGCCACUACAGCAGAAAAAUGAGCAACAAAAUAAAAGAAAUAAGAGGGAAAUAGGCGAAAAAUAAAGUAUAGAGAAUAAUGGCGUACAAAAGUAAAAAGAAUAGAGCAAAAUGGGAAAUAAAUAUAAAGCAUAUAUAUUUUUAAGAGACUAUUGCAGAUCCAUUUGCUAUAUACAUUAAUUUUCCUUAACAUAAAUCGACAUAAAAAUCAUGCAUUGAACUGAAUACAACCAAUGAAAGCGAAGCUCCAUUUUUACAUGUUUUAUUAAUAUAUUAUGUAUUGAUUCUGGAAACAAAUUUAUUUACAUUUUUUGGCAAUUUUUAAACUAUUUAUCAAUUUAGAAGCACUACAUGUUUGAUCUGAUCAAAA
This 856-nucleotide long non-coding RNA is filed under the name Mytilus galloprovincialis (Mediterranean mussel). The record is from RNAcentral. Lineage: Eukaryota; Metazoa; Mollusca; Bivalvia; Mytilida; Mytilidae.